CUUGAUAUGUUGGCCUCACCGUGCCUGAAAAUAAUAAAACCCACAUGUUAAAACGCGACAAAGCAAGUGCACUUUUAACGCCGAGAUGCUUUUAUGGACCAUUCUUUUGAACAGCUGCAAAUGUUAUUACUUCUUAUUGAAGAAUCUGGAAUGUGAAUCAGAAAAUCUCACAAUAGUCUUUUAAAGAUCAGGAGACACUGCAGCUGACAGUUGGAUAUAGAUGAGGACUGACUAUCAAUUCCGCAAAAGACCACCAUCAAACCUUGUUCUUCAAACAAAGCUAAGCCAAUUAAACCUACUGUGAGAUAGAGCAUGACUUCGGUAGUCUUGGUAGCGUCUCGGGAA
Molecule: long non-coding RNA, 345 nt
Organism: Prionailurus viverrinus (fishing cat)
Lineage: Eukaryota; Metazoa; Chordata; Mammalia; Carnivora; Felidae
Exons: 3
Source: RefSeq, a predicted model, not a curated record